GGAUAAGAUGUUGACUGAUGGUUGCUUGCUACUGCAGUUGUGGCCCUGGUGGUGAAUACUAUUUCUACGUCCUAGAGUGACUGACCCAUACACAUUCCCAUUGGUGAUGAGGUGGAACCAUGGGCCGAGUAACGUGGGACUGUUUGACGAGUUGGACUGUUCGACCUCGAGAUCAUAUCUAGCAUCUUACUUGAAGUGUUAGACAACCAGGAGAUGUGGGGCGUGAAGGUGUCGUUGAUAGACAACGAAUUCCACCACCAUCGCGAGACAUGAACGAACAACAUAAGGUGGACAUAUGGGGGAAGAACGACGAGGAGUAGGCAUAGACGCACAAGGAGCACAUCCAAGCUUGGGAUCGUAGGAUAGAAUCCAUACUUGCCUGUGCACCAUUUUUCUCGGCAGACACAGCGAUAGCUGAUGAUUACUUAACAUGGUUUAGAGCCAUCGAGAAGUUGUAUUUGCUACCACUAACGGUGAGGAGUAGGCAAAUUUGACCAAAGAGGUAACGUCGACCACUAUAGCAGCAUAGGAGGGGAUGCGGUCACACGACGGGUUCGUCAUCAGCUCUAGCAGAAAAGUUGCCUCCUGUGGCUACGCAAUAUACGGGUCAGUUCGCUUAACUUAUUUCUGUUUAAUUCACUAACCCAUGUUUUUUUCACAAGCACCAUCGCACUACGGACCACUGCCACAAGUGGUCGGUUCUUCUAUUCCGCAGGUUCAUAUUUUGGGGCACUGACAUCCCCUGCAUACUAACCCCAUGCCGAUGUCAAUGUCGAACCCUAUAUCGAGACAGAUUUUGACGUAUGCAUUGCCACCGACGACGAUACAUAUGCAGACGCCCACGCAUUAGUUGAGGCAAUGUCGAUGCCCGAGUCAAUUUUGAUGUACCCGAGAUUUGGGGCACUUUAUGGUUACACGCAUAUAGUGACCUAAACACCGUGCGCAUCACUAUUUUACCGUGGUGGCUCAUCAUCGAACCAUCGAUCGUGGGAGUGGUGGAUACACGAUGGCAGACAAGGAGGGCAUAGCAAUCGACCACGAAGGAAGACGAUGACGCUGUCGAUCCCAAAAAAAGAUUUGCUUAGGGGGCCAUGCUAGGUACAUAUUUAGGCGAUGAUGAAGUCCAUCAAUAAGCAACAACUAGGAGGAAGUCUACAGACCUGCACCUUUGGAUACAUCUCCGGAGGCACCUCUGGUUGCACUUUUGGUUGUACACCUGGUUCUACGCAGAAAUCCUCCAUGCAACUAUCGUCCACCGCCUUACGACACAUUCUCUUCGAUGAUACGAUUGAGUGUAUUUUUUGUUAUAAAUAUUGUGAUGUAAAUAAAAUUGUCAUAAAUAAAAACAAUUAAUUAUUACAAAAAAUCCUUUUAGGUUUUGAGCAAUACCUUUGUCUUUUCAUGAGUUAUGUGUAAGUUAACAAUAAAUAAGAAAUUGAACCAAAGAGAA
Molecule: long non-coding RNA, 1450 nt
Organism: Gossypium arboreum
Lineage: Eukaryota; Viridiplantae; Streptophyta; Magnoliopsida; Malvales; Malvaceae
Exons: 2
Source: RefSeq, a predicted model, not a curated record